ACGCUGGCGGCAGGCCUAACACAUGCAAGUCGAGCGGUAGAGAGAAGCUUGCUUCUCUUGAGAGCGGCGGACGGGUGAGUAAUGCCUAGGAAUCUGCCUGGUAGUGGGGGAUAACGUCCGGAAACGGACGCUAAUACCGCAUACGUCCUACGGGAGAAAGCAGGGGACCUUCGGGCCUUGCGCUAUCAGAUGAGCCUAGGUCGGAUUAGCUAGUUGGUGGGGUAAUGGCUCACCAAGGCGACGAUCCGUAACUGGUCUGAGAGGAUGAUCAGUCACACUGGAACUGAGACACGGUCCAGACUCCUACGGGAGGCAGCAGUGGGGAAUAUUGGACAAUGGGCGAAAGCCUGAUCCAGCCAUGCCGCGUGUGUGAAGAAGGUCUUCGGAUUGUAAAGCACUUUAAGUUGGGAGGAAGGGCAGUAAAUUAAUACUUUGCUGUUUUGACGUUACCGACAGAAUAAGCACCGGCUAACUCUGUGCCAGCAGCCGCGGUAAUACAGAGGGUGCAAGCGUUAAUCGGAAUUACUGGGCGUAAAGCGCGCGUAGGUGGUUCGUUAAGUUGGAUGUGAAAUCCCCGGGCUCAACCUGGGGAACUCCAUUCAAAACUGACGAGCUAGAGUAUGGUAGAGGGUGGUGGAAUUUCCUGUGUAGCGGUGAAAUGCGUAGAUAUAGGAAGGAACACCAGUGGCGAAGGCGACCACCUGGACUGAUACUGACACUGAGGUGCGAAAGCGUGGGGAGCAAAC
Molecule: ribosomal RNA, 746 nt
Filed under: uncultured bacterium
Lineage: Bacteria
Description: bacterial SSU rRNA
Rfam family: Bacterial small subunit ribosomal RNA
Source: RNAcentral